This 666-nucleotide long non-coding RNA is filed under the name Amborella trichopoda. Its description in RNAcentral is "long non-coding RNA (ATRI_LNC003173)". The record is from RNAcentral. Lineage: Eukaryota; Viridiplantae; Streptophyta; Magnoliopsida; Amborellales; Amborellaceae.
UCCCUUGCAUAAUGGCAGGCUCCUCCCCUCUGCACCGUUGGUCCACCCAGGUACCGCGCACGCCUUAAUGAAAUUUCAAAGUGGUUUGUCCAUUUCAAUUAAUAGUAGUUUUCUCCAUAAAUUUUUUCAUCUCCGUAAAAAUGAAUGCUCUCGCCAUCUCUCUGUAGCAUUUUCCUCUGUCUAAACCUUUUCAAUACUUUCACUCCCUGCAACACUGGUAAAAUGUCAGCCCCUGAGUGAAGUCGAGGUUGUGGGAUGGGAUGAGGAUUGAGGAGCGAGAAAGGAUUAGAGAGACAGAGACGGAUGGCGAUCGGGUGAGAAAGGGCUAAAUAGAGAGAGAGGAAUGGUGAUGAUACGAAGGCGUGCAGGGAGUUGCAGAGGUUCCUUUAACAUCUGAGGAGCUUGAGUAUCGGCCAAGCCUCAGCUGCAGAGAGAGAGUCUGACUUUCGCUUCACGCCAGAGUUUGGGGAAGAGAAAGGGUAUCUCUGCAAGUUCCCCAAAACCUGCGUGCUCUUCUUCUCUCUCAUCUUUUUCGUCCAAUCCUUUGUAACACACCCCACCAAAACCCCAGUUUCUCCCCAUUCUUCAAUCUUUUAACUGCAAGUAAGAAAACAAAGAGUGCACUGCCUUUCUUUUCUUCAGACCUACGGACGACAGAUAAAGGGC